CCUCUCUAGAAGAAUAUGGAAGUACACGUUCAUAAACAAAGUACUCAAGCUUCUCAUACAUCUUGAUCCAGGUGUAUUUGAAGCUCUCACAAAAAGAUCCAUAAAAUCAAUGGAGAGAGUUGAUCUCGGAGAAAUUUUGAAGCUUGUAAAUAUUUUGGAUUUGUAUUUUAUGUUCAUGAAUUUUAUAGUGUAUAAAGAUUGGGGAAAUUAAUAGAUUUGUGCAUUUCUAUAAAUAUUUUCGUUUGUGUAAAUUUAUAGUUUUUUGUUGUUAUUUUUUAUGUUUUAGUAGAUUUGUGUGUUUCUGUUUUUCUCUUAUGUAAAUUUUUGCCAUGGAGAUAUAAAAUUCUAAAGCUACAAAUAUGGAGGUGAGUUUGAGUUGUUAAUGUUCUUGAAUUCACAAUCAAUUUGAUGAAUUCACAAUUGAAUCGUUAUUGUUGGUUGUGAAUUCGAGUUAUUAAAGCUUUGAAUUCACAACUAGAAAUUAAUUGUGAAUUCAAAGCUUUAAAACUCAAAUUCACAAAUGAAUAACCAGUGUUGGUUACGAAUUCAAGCUUUUAAACUUGAAUUCACAACAAAUACUAUUCUUUAAUCGCUUCGUCGAGUUGUUAUCUUUCUCUCUCUCUUUCCGAUGUCACACUACUUCUUGAUUGAGAGAGUAGAUAUGAUGCAGGCAUUGUUGAGUUUGAUUGAUAGAAAUAGUGUGUAAUAUCACGAGUGACUAGAGAUUGUAGAAAUCUUUCCACUUAGUUUUUAGAAUUGAGGUUUAAACUAAGUGGAGCUGUGCCUGUUACUUGCUACUCAAUAUGUUUAAAGUUCAGCUGCUUGCUUCGUCUAUGUUCUGAGAGAGAGAUGUUCUUGUGCUUGGAUUUAUCAAUGUUAUUUUAUAAUUCCUUCUUAACUUUCCAGGUAAAUUGCCACAGUAUUACCUAUGCUACUG
This 937-nucleotide long non-coding RNA is filed under the name Salvia miltiorrhiza (redroot sage). Its description in RNAcentral is "long non-coding RNA (SMIL_LNC002764)". The record is from RNAcentral. Lineage: Eukaryota; Viridiplantae; Streptophyta; Magnoliopsida; Lamiales; Lamiaceae.